RNAcentral lists this ribosomal RNA (988 nucleotides) under Ditylenchus destructor. RNAcentral's name for it is "SSU rRNA". It matches the Rfam family "Eukaryotic small subunit ribosomal RNA", at positions 50 to 1039 of the family's 1831-position model. The record is from RNAcentral. Lineage: Eukaryota; Metazoa; Nematoda; Chromadorea; Rhabditida; Anguinidae.
CAUGCAUGUAUAAGUUCAAACGAUUUUAUCGUGAAACCGCGAACGGCUCAUUACAACAGCUAUAAUUUACUUGAUCUUGACAAAUCCUACUUGGAUAACUGUGGUAAUUCUAGAGCUAAUACAUGCACCAAAGCUCUGACCUUACGGGAAGAGUGCAUUUAUUAGAACAAAACCAGGCGGCCUUCGGGUCGUUUUUUGUUGACUCAGAAUAACUAAGCUGAUCGCAUGGUCUCGUACCGGCGACGUGUCUUUCAAGUGUCUGCCUUAUCAACUUUCGAUGGUAGUGUAUGUGACUACCAUGGUUGUGACGGGUAACGGAGGAUAAGGGUUUGACUCCGGAGAAGGGGCCUGAGAAAUGGCCACUACGUCUAAGGAUGGCAGCAGGCGCGCAAAUUACCCACUCUCAGAAUGAGGAGGUAGUGACGAGAAAUAACGAGACCGUUCUCUUAGAGGCCGGUCAUCGGAAUGGGUACAAUCUAAACCCUUUAACGAGUAUCUAUGAGAGGGCAAGUCUGGUGCCAGCAGCCGCGGUAAUUCCAGCUCUCAAAAUGCAUAGAAUUAUUGCUGCGGUUAAAAAGCUCGUAGUUGGAUCUGUGCCGCAGGACUCGGUCCGCCUUCGGGCGCGCACUGAGCUCCUCGGCUUUUCUGCUGGUUUUCCCGUUAUGGUCUUAACCGGCCGUAGCGGGUGGCUGGCGAUUUUACUUUGAACAAAUCAGAGUGCUCAACACAGGCGUUUCGCUUGAAUGUUCUUGCAUGGAAUAAUAGAAGAGGAUUUCGGUCCUAUUUUAUUGGUUUUAUAGGCUGAAAUAAUGGUUAAUAGAGACAAACGGGGGCAUUCGUAUCGCUGCGUGAGAGGUGAAAUUCUUGGACCGCAGCGAGACGAACUACAGCGAAAGCAUUUGCCAAGAAUGUCUUCAUUAAUCAAGAACGAAAGUUAGAGGAUCGAAAGCGAUCAGAUACCGCCCUAUCUCGUACACACAUAAAAAAA